AGUGAACGCUGGCGGUAGGCCUAACACAUGCAAGUCGAACGGCAGCACAGUAAGAGCUUGCUCUUACGGGUGGCGAGUGGCGGACGGGUGAGGAAUACAUCGGACUCUACUUUUUCGUGGGGGAUAACGUAGGGAAACUUACGAUAAUACCGCAUACGACCUACGGGUGAAAGCAGGGGAUCUUCGGACCUUGCGCGAUUGAAUGCGCCGAUGUCGGAUUAGCUAGUUGGCGGGGUAAAGGCCCACCAAGGCGACGAUCCGUAGCUGGUCUGAGAGGAUGAUCAGCCACACUGGAACUGAGACACGGUCCAGACUCCUACGGGAGGCAGCAGUGGGGAAUAUUGGACAAUGGGCGCAAGCCUGAUCCAGCCAUACCGCGUGGGUGAAGAAGGCCUUCGGGUUGUAAAGCCCUUUUGUUGGGAAAGAAAAGCAGCAGGUUAAUACCCCGCUGUUCUGACGGUACCCAAAGAAGAAGCACCGGCUAACUUCGUG
This 492-nucleotide ribosomal RNA is filed under the name uncultured bacterium. Its description in RNAcentral is "partial 16S ribosomal RNA". It matches the Rfam family "Bacterial small subunit ribosomal RNA", at positions 29 to 507 of the family's 1533-position model. The record is from RNAcentral.